This 497-nucleotide ribosomal RNA is filed under the name uncultured bacterium. RNAcentral describes it as "partial 16S ribosomal RNA". It matches the Rfam family "Bacterial small subunit ribosomal RNA", at positions 28 to 507 of the family's 1533-position model. The record is from RNAcentral.
GAUGAACGCUGGCGGCGUGCCUAAUACAUGCAAGUCGAGCGAACAGAUGAGGAGCUUGCUCCUCUGACGUUAGCGGCGGACGGGUGAGUAACACGUGGAUAACCUACCUAUAAGACUGGGAUAACUUCGGGAAACCGGAGCUAAUACCGGAUAAUAUAUUGAACCGCAUGGUUCAAUAGUGAAAGACGGUUUUGCUGUCACUUAUAGAUGGAUCCGCGCCGCAUUAGCUAGUUGGUAAGGUAACGGCUUACCAAGGCAACGAUGCGUAGCCGACCUGAGAGGGUGAUAGGCCACACUGGAACUGAGACACGGUCCAGACUUAUACGGGAGGCAGCAGUAGGGAAUCUUCAGCAAUGGGCGAAAGCCUGACGGAGCAACGCCACGCGAGUGAUGAAGGUCUGCGGGUCUUAAAACUCUGUUAUUAGGGAAGAAAAAAUGUGUAAGGAUAUAGGCACGUCUUGACGGUACCUAAUCAGAAAGCCACGGCUAACUUCGUG